UACCAGCUCUCCGAGUGGUAGGGAUGAUUAUUGGGCUUAAAGCGUCCGUAGCCGGCUUAGCAAGUCUCCUGUUAAAUUCAGCGACCUAAUCGUUGAGCCGCGGGAGAUACUACUAGGCUAGGAGGCGGGAGAGGUCAACGGUACUUCCGGGGUAGGGGUGAAAUCCUAUAAUCCCGGGAGGACCACCAGUGGCGAAGGCUGUUGACUAGAACGCGCUCGACGGUGAGGGACGAAAGCUGGGGGAGCGAACCGGAUUAGAUACCCGGGUAGUCCCAGCUGUAAACGAUGCGAGCUAGGUGUUGGGGUGGCUACGUGCCACUUCAGUGCCGCAGGGAAGCCAUUAAGCUCGCCGCCUGGGGAGUACGGCCGCAAGGCUGAAACUUAAGGAAUUGGCGGGGAGCACCACAAGGCGUGAAGCUUGCGGUUC
Molecule: ribosomal RNA, 427 nt
Filed under: uncultured archaeon
Lineage: Archaea
Description: bacterial SSU rRNA
Rfam family: Archaeal small subunit ribosomal RNA
Source: RNAcentral